This 995-nucleotide ribosomal RNA is filed under the name uncultured bacterium. RNAcentral's name for it is "bacterial SSU rRNA". It matches the Rfam family "Bacterial small subunit ribosomal RNA", at positions 356 to 1376 of the family's 1533-position model. The record is from RNAcentral.
GGGGGAUAUUGCACAAUGGGGGAAACCCUGAUGCAGCGACGCCGCGUGGAGGAAGAAGGUUUUCGGAUUGUAAACUCCUGUCGUUAGGGACGAUAAUGACGGUACCUAACAAGAAAGCACCGGCUAACUACGUGCCAGCAGCCGCGGUAAAACGUAGGGUGCAAGCGUUGUCCGGAAUUACUGGGUGUAAAGGGAGCGCAGGCGGGAAGACAAGUUGGAAGUGAAAACCAUGGGCUCAACCCAUGAAUUGCUUUCAAAACUGUUUUUCUUGAGUAGUGCAGAGGUAGAUGGAAUUCCCGGUGUAGCGGUGGAAUGCGUAGAUAUCGGGAGGAACACCAGUGGCGAAGGCGGUCUACUGGGCACCAACUGACGCUGAGGCUCGAAAGCAUGGGUAGCAAACAGGAUUAGAUACCCUGGUAGUCCAUGCCGUAAACGAUGAUUACUAGGUGUUGGGGGAUUGACCCCCUCAGUGCCGCAGUUAACACAAUAAGUAAUCCACCUGGGGAGUACGACCGCAAGGUUGAAACUCAAAGGAAUUGACGGGGGCCCGCACAAGCAGUGGAGUAUGUGGUUUAAUUCGAAGCAACGCGAAGAACCUUACCAGGUCUUGACAUCCUGCGACGAUGCUGGAAACAGUAUUUUCCUUCGGGACGCAGAGACAGGUGGUGCAUGGUUGUCGUCAGCUCGUGUCGUGAGAUGUUGGGUUAAGUCCCGCAACGAGCGCAACCCUUAUUGCCAGUUACUACGCAAGAGGACUCUGGCGAGACUGCCGUUGACAAAACGGAGGAAGGUGGGGAUGACGUCAAAUCAUCAUGCCCUUUAUGACCUGGGCUACACACGUACUACAAUGGCGUUUAACAAAGAGAAGCAAGACCGCGAGGUGGAGCAAAACUCAAAAACAACGUCUCAGUUCAGAUUGCAGGCUGCAACUCGCCUGCAUGAAGUCGGAAUUGCUAGUAAUCGCGGAUCAGAAUGCCGCGGUGAAUACGUUCCCG